This 375-nucleotide long non-coding RNA is filed under the name Sorghum bicolor (sorghum). RNAcentral describes it as "long non-coding RNA (SBIC_LNC017412)". Lineage: Eukaryota; Viridiplantae; Streptophyta; Magnoliopsida; Poales; Poaceae. The record is from RNAcentral.
CGGCGCUUGAAUUGGUUGAGAAGAUCCUCCUAGAGAAGAAAUCCCUUGAAAAUCGGGAUUGGCACCUACCUGGACAACGAACCUAGCUCGGUUGUGCUCAGAGAAGAAGGAAGGGGGAGAUGAGGGAGAGCUGACGCGUGGGGCCUGGCUGGCGGUGAAAGAAGAGGUGGGGCCCGAUCGUCAGCCGAAGAAGGGGGAGGGGAGGCGCGCGCAGCCUGGGCCUUGGCCCGGUUGCUGAGCUGCGGGGGGAGGGGGAGGGAAUGGGCCGAGACAGUUGGGCUUCGGCCCAAAACUGGGUUGGUUCUUUUUUUUAUUCUUUCCUUUUUCUUCCUUGUUUUCUAAAGCUUUUUGAAAAGAGAUUUUAAAUCCUUUUGG